This 637-nucleotide ribosomal RNA is filed under the name Sphingomonas paucimobilis. RNAcentral describes it as "bacterial SSU rRNA". It matches the Rfam family "Bacterial small subunit ribosomal RNA", at positions 32 to 715 of the family's 1533-position model. Lineage: Bacteria; Pseudomonadati; Pseudomonadota; Alphaproteobacteria; Sphingomonadales; Sphingomonadaceae. The record is from RNAcentral.
AACGCUGGCGGCAUGCCUAACACAUGCAAGUCGAACGAAGGCUUCGGCCUUAGUGGCGCACGGGUGCGUAACGCGUGGGAAUCUGCCCUUAGGUUCGGAAUAACAGCUGGAAACGGCUGCUAAUACCGGAUGAUAUCGCGAGAUCAAAGAUUUAUCGCCUGAGGAUGAGCCCGCGUUGGAUUAGGUAGUUGGUGGGGUAAAGGCCUACCAAGCCGACGAUCCAUAGCUGGUCUGAGAGGAUGAUCAGCCACACUGGGACUGAGACACGGCCCAGACUCCUACGGGAGGCAGCAGUGGGGAAUAUUGGACAAUGGGCGAAAGCCUGAUCCAGCAAUGCCGCGUGAGUGAUGAAGGCCCUAGGGUUGUAAAGCUCUUUUACCCGGGAAGAUAAUGACUGUACCGGGAGAAUAAGCCCCGGCUAACUCCGUGCCAGCAGCCGCGGUAAUACGGAGGGGGCUAGCGUUGUUCGGAAUUACUGGGCGUAAAGCGCACGUAGGCGGCUUUGUAAGUCAGAGGUGAAAGCCUGGAGCUCAACUCCAGAACUGCCUUUGAGACUGCAUCGCUUGAAUCCAGGAGAGGUCAGUGGAAUUCCGAGUGUAGAGGUGAAAUUCGUAGAUAUUCGGAAGAACACCAGUGG